Molecule: long non-coding RNA, 2122 nt
Filed under: Pan troglodytes (chimpanzee)
Lineage: Eukaryota; Metazoa; Chordata; Mammalia; Primates; Hominidae
Description: lincRNA
Source: RNAcentral
AACCAUUAAGUGGAACAUGGUGUCUAGGUUACACAGCUCACUCAUCUGCUGAUCACUGGGGCACACUGCUGGUUAUUAUUACCUGAGACCCUGAAAGGAAGCACUAAAAAAAUGAAGACAGAGGAAUACCAGGAGAGAAAGGAGGUCCAGUUAGACCUAAAGGUGGGCAAGAAGAAGAAGAAGAGAGUGCUUUGCAUGUAGCAUUUGAGGCAGGCGGCUGGGACACUGAAUGAAGAGCCUGGGGGAGGCAGGUUCAGCAUGCCACCGUUUCCUGGUCAUGAAGAUGCCAGCUCCAGCUCCAAGCAGGUGACAAGGCUGGGUGGCCAGGGGACAGGGGAGUGGGGUUCGAGGUCUCAGAGGAUUUUUAAAAACUUCCGUUGUCUUUCUACCUUGGAUUUCAGGAGCACCAGGGUAAUGUUCUAAACUUCUUUGUGAGGUUUAAAGUCUUCCCUCCCUUGGUCUAAAAUGUUGAAGUGGGUGGUGGAACAGAGAGGUGACAUGAAGAUGAGAGUUGAGCCAGAGGAAUAGGAUUCUCCAUCUUUGGGUAUGUCAUUUAAUUUUGGAAACACUCAGUUUCUGUUUAAGCAGUGUAACCAUAUAAUUUGUUGAACACUUUUGAAGGGGUGAAUGUUAAAUUGGAUAGCAUGUUGGGAAAAUGGGCUUAAACUGGAGAUAAAGUCGACCUAUGAAUAAAGAAGGGAUUAGGCCACGUAGCGGGGGUCAGGGGUGGUAAAUAGGUUUCAUACCCAUGGUAAUUAUGAAAGAGCGAUCAGGCUUUCUGGACUGCAUUGUGGAGGGGUUGGUGCAGCUGCUCUUGAGCACCGUGGAAGAGUUUCCUGAUUGAUUAGCAAUGUCUGCUCUAGUCUCUGGGAAGGAUGGCUGCACCCUUGCAGGUAUUCACCAUUCCUGGAUUGGAUGUCUUCAAGAGCCUUUUCAAUUCUAUUUUUGUAAUAAGAAUAAUUGAGAAGUGAAUGAAGCUAACCUUCUUAUUUAAAUGCCCUGGAGGUUGAGACCUGGAAAGCCAGACUGAGAGGCCUAUGGCAGUGCUUUUCCAACUGAAUGUGUACACUUGAAUCUUGUCAAAAUGCAGAUUCUGAAUCAGAGGUCUGGGCUAAGGCCCAAUAGCCUCAAUUUCUGAUGAGUUCCCAGGUGAUACCGAUGCUGCUGGUCUGUGGGCCACACUUUGAGCAACAAAGACCUAAGGCAGCAUCCUGAACCUGGGCCAGUGCCCCUUCACUGCAGGCUCAUAGCCUGCAGAAGAACCUGCAUAUAUGCUACUUUCCAAAGAUUUUUUUCCGCAAGUCAUUUAAGUGAUUCCUCCAGACAGCCUUUUAAUGUUUGAUAGAUUAUUUCCCGCCCCCAUCACCCACUUUUUUUUUUCCUAAAUGUGCUUCUCAGGUGCAGCAGGUUUAAGUGCCUAGCCCAAGGGCUAUAAAUGGCAGAGCUGAGACUCACAUUUAAGUCUUUGCCCUUCCCCAGGUGGCCCUUUGAACACCUAUCUGGCAGGCCUAAUUAUAGAGGUAAUGUUGUGAGUGCCCUCAGCUCAAAUGGGGCAGCUCUUGGAGCAGUGCCAAGGGAUUGUACUGAUGCUAAAUUUGCCUUCAGAUCACGUCAGAAGCCUAAGCUUGCCUUGUGACCCCCAGCUCCACCAUUCCAGCCAGUCAUUAAGGCAGGCAGACAACAUCUUACAGUCUUGGGUUCAUGGGAGCCUUCUUUGUUCUUAUGAGGGUUUUAGAGGCAGAUAGACCUGGAUCAGAAUCUUUCCAUGUCAUUUGACCUUAAGCAAGUUACUUAAUCUCCCAAAUUAAAGUCCCUUCACCUGUAAAAAGGCACAUUCUUGGCUGAGCGCAGUGGCUCACGCCUGUAAUCCCCGCACUUUGGGAGGCUGAGGCAGGUGGAUCAUAAGGUCAGGAGUUUUAGACCAGCCUGACCAACAUGGUGAAACCCCGUCUCUACUACUAAAAAUACAAAAAUUAACCAGGCAUGGUGGUGCGCACCUGUAAUCCCAGCUACUCGGGAGGCUGAGGCAGGAGAAUUUCUUGAACCCAGGAGGCGGAGGUUGCAGUGAGCUAAGAUCGCACCAUUGCACUCCAGCCUUGGCAACAGAGGGAGACUCCAUUUC